Molecule: long non-coding RNA, 3652 nt
Filed under: Homo sapiens (human)
Lineage: Eukaryota; Metazoa; Chordata; Mammalia; Primates; Hominidae
Description: HSALNT0126115
Source: RNAcentral
UGUCCCCGGCCCGUGGACCACGACCCGCCACGCCCCCAACUGCGGGCCACGCCCCAUCCAGUGGCCCCGUCCAGACUCCGCCCACCUCAGGCCCUACCUCGUCAAGGCCCCGCCCCGUGCUUCCGUCCCUCUGCAGGUCCAGGAGAACAUGCUCUACGUUAUCACUGGUCCUAGACUGGGGACGAUGUGGAGACCCACAGACUGAAGCAGAGCUGUUCCAGCCACUUGCAGACCUCACAUACAGCCACCUGCACAUGUGGAGCUUGGUCUGGGAGGCUGCCUGCUCCCCCUUCGAGCCUGGGUGGCAUGUGUCCAGGUGCCACCCCUAAGCGGAAGAGCCUUUCCUGGGGUGGUGUGCAGAUGGCCACAAGGGAGGCAAGGUGGCCCAGGGAGGAAGAGAGAAGCCCAGGAGAAGCCAGCUCAGGAUACCUCUUGGACAUGGCAUGAGAGCGCGCUGUCUUUGGCAUGUUCCGCAGGAGAAAUCCAUCAGAGGAAGUGAGAGUGAAGAUUGGGACAAUCACAGGACCAUUGUACUCGGAUUUUGGGAGAAUGAUCAUCCAAUAAUCCUCAGACGCUCCCCAUAGCCUUGGGCAAUUUCCUGUCCAGCUGGAGGAUAAGACCCUCACAAGAAGAGGUGGUUACUCAACGGUCCUCAAUACAAGGUGCUACAAAGCCACAAAACUAACCAGAAACCAAAGGUGUAAAUGAACACCAAGAUGGCAGCUCCAGGCACAUGUGUCAAAAUCAUCUUUCCCAAAUUGAGAUAGAAGGCAGGACUCAACUCUGGACCAGACUGAAGACUAGCUAAAACAGUGAAGAGGGGAAUGCACCUCUCCAUAAGACAUGCCCAGAGGGCCAUGUCAGUUUACCAUUGCCAUGGCAACACCCAGAACUUACCGCCCCUUUCCACGGCGACAACCAAAAUUAACGAGCAGACCCUAAAAUUGACAAGGAAAUGCAAGGUACCCAGAGCAGCCAAAUGAUCUUGAAAAAGAACAAAGUAGGACUCGCACUUUCUGAGUUAAAACUGACUUCAAAACUCCAUUAAUCAAGACAGUGUGUUCCUGGCAUAAGAGUAAACAUAUAGAUGAAUGGAGCAGAAUUUUUAGUGCAGAAAUAAACUUUUAAAUCAUGGACAUUCAACUUUUGACAGAGUUGCCAAGACAGUUCAAUGGGGGAAAUGUUAGUCUUUUCAACCAAUGAUGCUGGGACAACUGGAUAUCCAUUUGCAAAAGAAUGAUGCGAGAUCUCUGUCAGACCAUACACAAAACAAUCAAAAUGGAUCAAAGAGCCGGGCGCAGUGGCUCACGCCUGUAAUACAGCAUUUCAGGAGGCUGAGGCAGGAGAAUUGCUUGAGCCCAGGAGUUUGAGACCAGCCUGGGCAACAUGGCGAAACCCCGACUCUACUAAAAAAUAUAAAAAUUAACCGGGCAUGGUGGCACAUGCCUGCAAUCCUCCCAAAAUCGGGAGGCCGAGGCACGAGAAUUGCUUGAACCCAGGAGGUGGAGGUUGCAGUGAGCUGAGAUCAUGCCACUGUACCCCAGCCUGGGUAACAGAGAGAAACUGAUCUUGGGUCAGAGUUAGGCAAUGGUUUCUUAGAUAUGACACCAAAAACACAAGUGACAGAAGGAAAGAGAUAUAAUUGGACUUCAUGAAAAUUUUAAAAAUGUGUGCUACAAAUGAUGCCUUCAACAGAAUGAAAAGACAGCACACAGCAUAGGAGAAAAUGUUUGCAAAUCAUAUAUCUGAUAAGGGGCUUGUGUCCAGAAAUCGUAAAGGACCCCUACAACUCUAUAGUAAAAAGAUAAAUCGGCCGGGCGCAGUGGCUCACGCCUGUAAUCUCAGCACUUUGGGAGGCCAAGGUGGGUGGAUCACCUGAGGUCAGGAGUUGGAGACCAGCCUGGCCAACAUUGUGGAACCCCGUCUCUACUAAAAAUACAAAAUUAGCCAGGUGUGGUGGCAGACACCUGUAAUCCCAGCUACUCGGGAGGCUGAGGCAGGAGAAUUGCCUGAACCCGGGAGGCAGAGGUUGCAGUGAGCUGAGAUCGCGUCACUGCACUCUAGACUGGUGACAGAGCAAGACUCUAUCUCAAAAAAAAAAAAAAAAAAAGAUAAAUCACCCAGAAUGGACAAAGGAUCUUGGCAGACAUUUCUGCAACAUUUCUGCAACAAAAACAUGCAAAUGACCGGCCAGGCAUGGUGGCUCAUGCCUGUAAUCCCAGCACUUUGGUAGGCCAAGGCGGGUGGAUCACCUGAGGUCAGGGGUUCGAGACCAGCCUGGGUAACCUGGUGAAACCCUGUCUCUAUUAAAAAUACAAAAAAAAACUUAGCUGAGUGUGGUGGCGGGCGCCUGUAAUCCCAGCUACUCCGGUUGCUGAGGCAGGAGAAUCUCUUGAACCCGGGAGGCAGAGGUUGCAGUGAGCCGGGAUUGCACCAUUGCACUCCAGCCUGGGCAACAGAGCAAGACUCUGUCUCAAAAAAAAAAAAAAAAAAAAAAAGCAAAAAACAUGCAAAUGACCAACAAGCACAUGAAAAGAUGCUCAAUGUCAUUAGUCAUUAGUGAAAUCCAAAUCAAAACCACAAUGAGAUAAAGUUUCACAUCUAGUAGGAAGACGGUAAUAAAAAAAGACAGACAGUAACAGGAUGAGGGGAAGCCAGAAGACUCAUGUAUUGCUGGUGGGAAUGUAACAUGCAGAAUGUAAAAAUGGUGAAGCUGUGCUGGAAAAUAGUUUGGCAGUUCCUCAAAAUGUUAAACACAGGGUUAUAUGGCCCAGCAAAUCCACUCAUAGAGAAACCCACCCAAGAAAUUAAGGCAUAUAGUCACGCAAAAAUUUGCAGGUGAAUGUUCAUAGCAUAUUCAUUUAUUUAUUUGUUUAUUUUUAUUGAGACAGAGUCUCAAUUUAUCACCCAUGCUGGCAUGCAGUGGGGCGAUCCCAGCUCACUGGAACCUCUGCCUCCCGGGUUCAAACAAUUCUCCUGAGUAGCUGGAUUACAGGUAUGCGCCACCACAUUUGGCUAAUUUUUGUAUUUUUAGUAGAGACAGUGUUUCACCAUGUUGGCUAGGCUGGUCUCGAACUCUUGACCUCAAGCAAUCCGCCUAUCUUGGCCUCCCAAAGUGCUGGGAUUACAGAUGUGAGCCACUGUGACCAGCCAUAGCAGCAUUAUUUAUAAGAACUAAAUAAAUCAUGGAAGGAACCCAUAUGACUAUCAGCUGAUGAAUGGAUAAAUGAAAAUGUGCUGUGUGCAUACGAUGGAAUAUUAUUUGGCAAUGGAAAGGAAUGAAGUAGUGAUACAUGGUACAACGUAGAUGGAUGGACUUUGAAACAGUAUGUGAGAUAAGCUGAUGACUACAUAUUAUAUGAACCCAUUCCCGUGAUUUGUUCAGAGUAGGCAGAUCUACAGAGACAAAGUAGAUUAGUGGUUGCCCAAGGCUGGAGGGCAUUGGGGAAUAACUACUAAUGGUACAGGGCUUCUUUCUGGGAUGAUGAAAAUGUUCUAAAAUUAGAUGUGGUGAUGGCUGCACAACUCUGUAAGUAUACUUAAGCCACUGAAUUGUAUGAUUUAAAUGGGCAAAUUGAUGUACGAAUUAUAUCAAUAAAGUUGCUUAAAAAAACAAUAUAUAAACAUUAAAAGAAUCAAAUAUAUAAAAAGG